RNAcentral lists this transfer RNA (76 nucleotides) under Nitrospiraceae bacterium. RNAcentral describes it as "tRNA-Ala". It matches the Rfam family "tRNA". From Rfam's summary of the family: Transfer RNA (tRNA) molecules are approximately 80 nucleotides in length. Their secondary structure includes four short double-helical elements and three loops (D, anti-codon, and T loops). Further hydrogen bonds mediate the characteristic L-shaped molecular structure. tRNAs have two regions of fundamental functional importance: the anti-codon, which is responsible for specific mRNA codon recognition, and the 3' end, to which the tRNAs corresponding amino acid is attached (by aminoacyl-tRNA synthetases). tRNAs cope with the degeneracy of the genetic code in two manners: having more than one tRNA (with a specific anti-codon) for a particular amino acid; and 'wobble' base-pairing, i.e. permitting non-standard base-pairing at the 3rd anti-codon position. RNAcentral also lists the same sequence under 1 other name. Lineage: Bacteria; Pseudomonadati; Nitrospirota; Nitrospiria; Nitrospirales; Nitrospiraceae. The record is from RNAcentral.
GGGGCUGUGGCGCAGUUGGGAGCGCGCGAGACUGGCAGUCUCGAGGUCAGGGGUUCGACCCCCCUCAGCUCCACCA